This 650-nucleotide ribosomal RNA is filed under the name uncultured Idiomarina sp. RNAcentral's name for it is "bacterial SSU rRNA". It matches the Rfam family "Bacterial small subunit ribosomal RNA", at positions 762 to 1412 of the family's 1533-position model. The record is from RNAcentral. Lineage: Bacteria; Pseudomonadati; Pseudomonadota; Gammaproteobacteria; Alteromonadales; Idiomarinaceae.
UGGGGAGCAAACAGGAUUAGAUACCCUGGUAGUCCACGCCGUAAACGAUGUCAACUAGUUGUUCGUGUCACUAAGACGUGAGUAACGCAGCUAACGCACUAAGUUGACCGCCUGGGGAGUACGGCCGCAAGGUUAAAACUCAAAUGAAUUGACGGGGGCCCGCACAAGCGGUGGAGCAUGUGGUUUAAUUCGAUGCAACGCGAAGAACCUUACCAUCCCUUGACAUCCAGUGAACUUUCUAGAGAUAGAUUGGUGCCUUCGGGAACACUGAGACAGGUGCUGCAUGGCUGUCGUCAGCUCGUGUUGUGAGAUGUUGGGUUAAGUCCCGCAACGAGCGCAACCCUUAUCCUUAGUUGCCAGCGAUUCGGUCGGGAACUCUGGGGAGACUGCCGGUGAUAAACCGGAGGAAGGUGGGGACGACGUCAAGUCAUCAUGGCCCUUACGGGAUGGGCUACACACGUGCUACAAUGGCGCGUACAAAGGGCAGCGAACCUGCGAGGGUAAGCGAAUCUCAUAAAGCGCGUCGUAGUCCGGAUUGGAGUCUGCAACUCGACUCCAUGAAGUCGGAAUCGCUAGUAAUCGUGGAUCAGAAUGCCACGGUGAAUACGUUCCCGGGCCUUGUACACACCGCCCGUCACACCAUGGGAGUG